ACUCCUACGGGAGGCAGCAGUGGGGAAUAUUGCACAAUGGGCGCAAGCCUGAUGCAGCCAUGCCGCGUGUAUGAAGAAGGCCUUCGGGUUGUAAAGUACUUUCAGCAGUGAGGAAGGCGGGUACGUUAAUAGCGUGCUCGUUUGACGUUAGCUGCAGAAGAAGCACCGGCUAACUCCGUGCCAGCAGCCGCGGUAAUACGGAGGGUGCGAGCGUUAAUCGGAAUUACUGGGCGUAAAGCGCAUGCAGGUGGUUUGUUAAGUCAGAUGUGAAAGCCCGGGGCUCAACCUCGGAAUUGCAUUUGAAACUGGCAGACUAGAGUACUGUAGAGGGGGGUAGAAUUUCAGGUGUAGCGGUGAAAUGCGUAGAGAUCUGAAGGAAUACCGGUGGCGAAGGCGGCCCCCUGGACAGAUACUGACACUCAGAUGCG
RNAcentral lists this ribosomal RNA (428 nucleotides) under uncultured bacterium. RNAcentral's name for it is "bacterial SSU rRNA". It matches the Rfam family "Bacterial small subunit ribosomal RNA", at positions 335 to 755 of the family's 1533-position model. The record is from RNAcentral.